This 3300-nucleotide long non-coding RNA is filed under the name Gigantopelta aegis. Its description in RNAcentral is "uncharacterized LOC121367626, transcript variant X2". Lineage: Eukaryota; Metazoa; Mollusca; Gastropoda; Neomphalida; Peltospiridae. The record is from RNAcentral.
UACAUUUGACCAAUUAGAACUCAGCUAAGAAAUUACGUCACAGGUUUUCCCAACCUGUCAAUUUCGGCGUGACAAAUGGCCCGGUCUUGCGGAUUUGUUGUGAUUUUAUCGAAAUUAGGUAGAAACACCACCGCCACAUUCCAAUGCUGACAAUCGGUCACUGUAUAUUUUUUAUUACUUGAAGGAAGGAAAACAUCACCCAGAUGUAACUGUCGGUCACCAAAGUGGAAUCAGAAAGGCCGUUAAAAAAUAUUCCAUUAAAGGUGACAAUCUUUAUUAUGAAGCCAAGGGAAAACACCAGCUGGUAUGCCAUUCCAGAGAAGAGCGUGUGUCUGCCCUUAAGCACUGCCAUGAUGAACCAGGAACUGGUGGACAUUGGGGCAGAAACAAAACGCUGGACAAGAUACAGGAAUCCUAUUACUGGCUGGGGAUGGCAAAGGAUGUUGAGAAAUGGAUCAACGAAUGUGACCAGUGUCAGCGCCAGGAAAGGCUAAAGACAAUAGCACCAAUUCUGCAUCCAAUCGAGACCGAUUCUCCUUGGGAUUUAAUAGGGAUAGACCUGAUCGGCCCCUUUCAGAAAACAGAAGGUGGUAACAAUGAAUACAUAGCAGAGCAGAGCGCGAGAAACAUGUGCCUGAGGGUCUUGCUGAGGGUCUUGCUGAGUGGAAGAGUGUGCAAUAUCUCUGCAGCCAGCAGUUGGAUGGGAACAGUUGCAGUAUAUUCACAUGCAUGAAUGCUGAAUGCCUUGUAAAAGAUGUUUGCCCGACAGUCAUGCGCCAGCACCACGUUCCAUACUAUCGGGAGUAUGUGAUGAAGACACUGCUAGCUGCCAGGAACACAGACAACUGCGACUCCAAACUGUGUUUGCGUCCACAACUAAAAUGCUUGGAAUGGAAGGGUUGUGAUGGAUGUUUGAUGUGGGAGCAUUCUGUUUGCACGAUAAUAACAGACAAGCACCCGUACUGUGGACUUUGUUUGCCAUUGCACUACAAAAACUAAACAUUCUCAUUUCUUGAAUUUGCACUUUGAAUUCUUAUUGCUAUUUUCCUAUAGUCAUAUUAAGUUUUAAUUUGAAUGCAUACACAAUUACUUGAAGAUUUAUGUAAGAAAUGUACAAAAUUAUUUAUUAUAUUCAUAUAUUUAUCAUAUAAUAGCUAGCACAUCUAGUGUAAUCAAAGUAUGUGAUAUUUUUCAAACUAGAUUAAUUGAGGUCAUGGCAAAUGUUCUACGGUGACACUGCAUGCAUAAUUGUGACACUCCAUAAUUGAUGUGUGCAUUCAAAUAAAAACAUUUCAAUAGCAAUUUCACAUUCAGCACUACUAGUGUAGGGACAUCCAAAAUGACGUCAUUUGAAUCAGAAUCACAUUCUUACAUCAUUUGAAUAUCUAGUAAUGGCAGACUGGAAUUAAAGUUGCGUAUACAGUUUACAAAAAUAUGUUGCAUUAAGCUUGAGAUUAUAUGAUAAAGAGAUUAUGACCCUCGUGUGUUUCAAUAUCUUCAGUAUCAUAUAUUAGGAAUAAAAAUAUCAUACUGUGAAAUCUUUACUAGAUUAAUGGUUCUCACUUUAUGUCCAAAAUCUGGAAUAAAUAUAAUUCUCUGAGUACUGUGCAUGAUAAAUAAAAUGACUGCCUUAAGAUAUCGGCUUUAUUAUGCUCAGGUUGAAUGGCAAAUGCUGUUCUUUGCAGGAUAAAGUCGAUAUCUUAAGACAGUAACCAGUUAUUCUCCCUCCAUCUAAUGACCACCCUGGCCAUCACACUGUAAAGACACUAAAUAGAUUGGAAUAGUUCCUUAUUAUUUUUUAAUAAAAAUAGUCAGGUACUUAAGACCUCCACUAUUGCAGAUUAUGACCAGAAUAGUCGGACACAAAUGGUUAUUUUUAAUACAUUUUUUCUCCACCGAUACAAUUACAACAUGACCUAUUUUUAUCCCGUCUCACAUGUGAUAACCCAUAAUGGUAUGUCUCAUAAUAAAGGGUGACUAUUGUUCACUGCAGAAUUGUCAAGACAUUCAGUCAGAUAUGGCAAAUAAGCACAAAUUUCCUUCAUUUGUAUCAGUGUUUGAAGUACAAGAAUGAUCAUGAGUGGACAAAUUGAAUGGGACCCUGGGGGUUAUACACAAGAAGAUCCAUAAACAGUUUAGUGUUGGUUGUACUAUUGGUAGAUGUAGUUUGUUAAAGUUAGUUUGUUUUUUAUUUAUUUAAUUCAACCAAACUGGAUGUCGUAAUUGUGACAUAUAGUCUGAGACAUCAGAUUCAAUAAAAACUACCAAGCCACUGUGCAUACAGUUGCUACAUCCAUUCUUUUAAUCAACAUAAUUAUGACCACAGAAAUUAAUACAUGUACACUCAUAUCUCACCAAUGGCAGACAGCAGUAUUCAGUGCUCAAUUUAUGGUUUUGGCACUUUAAAUAUUGACCUUGUGAAAUGCUUUUGUAUAUACAUGUAGUACUGUAUAUGUGUAAGAUGCUUUUGUACUUGAUAUUGUUCACAGAGAACGUCUUUAUUUAUACCUGAUGUUUUAGUAUUUCUAGCAUUAUCCUGAUUUCUGGAAUGCCACUAUGGUUUGCAAUCAACCUAUUGGUAGCUAUUUUUAAAAUUCCACUAAAAAACACAAAACAUACUAUUAGAUUCAAACCACAAUUCUUUUUACCUGUGUUUAUUAAAAUAACUAAUAAGAGAAGUAUGUUGCCAUUAGUAAAUAUCAUUUACAGUAUAAUUCAAUGUUAUUACACAAUUAUGUAUUUUGUACUGUCCACUAAAUUACGAUGUUGUCCACCGUUACUAAAUGUCCAAAAUUUGCAUUUAUAGCCAAUAUUCCAGGACUAUACUUUAAAUAGAUUACACCAUUAUGUGGUAUACACAAUAAUGUAAGAGAUAUAUCAAUGCAGUGAAACCCCUCUAAACCAGACACCAAUGGAAACAAGUAAAACGUAAGGUGUAUCUAGUAAAGAUGAGUUCUAUUCUGUACUGAUAUCUAAAAUGGUACCAUGAAAAAUUUCUGGUUUACAGAGGGGUCCAGUUUUGAGGGGUUUGACUGUAGUAACAUGCUAGCAUUAACCCCGACAAAAUUACAUUUCUACCUAUUUGCUAUAGUUGAAGGUAACUUAGCAGACAGUAGCAUAUAGUAAAUAUUUCCCAUCAUAUGACCUUGUCAUUCUGACCUACAUGUAUUAUCAUGCAGGCUUUUGUAGAUUUUUGAUAUACUUGAUCUACUUUGUGAUAGAAUGGUUAAACCCAUUCAGUAUAUUGGUAGUUUAUUGCAUGGGUAACUUGGUGGACAGAAUAAAGAAUUAGAAAAAGUA